RNAcentral lists this ribosomal RNA (471 nucleotides) under uncultured organism. RNAcentral describes it as "partial 16S ribosomal RNA". It matches the Rfam family "Bacterial small subunit ribosomal RNA", at positions 334 to 797 of the family's 1533-position model. The record is from RNAcentral.
CACUCCUGCGGGAGGCAGCAGUGGGGAAUUUUGGACAAUGGGCGAAAGCCUGAUCCAGCAAUGCCGCGUGAGUGAAGAAGGCCUUCGGGUUGUAAAGCUCUUUUGUCAGGGAAGAAACGGUGAAAGCUAAUAUCUUUUGCUAAUGACGGUACCUGAAGAAUAAGCACCGGCUAACUACGUGCCAGCAGCCGCGGUAAUACGUAGGGUGCAAGCGUUAAUCGGAAUUACUGGGCGUAAAGCGUGCGCAGGCGGUUUUGUAAGUCUGAUGUGAAAUCCCCGGGCUCAACCUGGGAAUUGCAUUGGAGACUGCAAGGCUAGAAUCUGGCGGAGGGGGGUAGAAUUCCACGGGUAGCAGUGAAAUGCGUAGGUAUGUGGAGGAACACCGAUGGCGAAGGCAGCCCCCUGGGUCAAGAUUGACGUUCAUGCACGAAAGCGUGGGGAGCAAACAGGAUUAGAUACCCUUGUAGUCCC